CCUACGGGGUGCAGCAGUGGGGAAUAUUGCACAAUGGGGGAAACCCUGAUGCAGCGACGCCGCGUGAGUGAAGAAGUAAUUCGUUAUGUAAAGCUCUAUCAGCAGGGAAGAAAAUGACGGUACCUGAGUAAGAAGCCCCGGCUAACUACGUGCCAGCAGACGCGGUAAUACGUAGGGGGCAAGCGUUAUCCGGAUUUACUGGGUGUAAAGGGAGCGUAGACGGCAGUGCAAGACUGGAUGGAAAGGGGGGGGCUCAACCCCCGGACUGCUCUGGAAACUGUCCGGCGGGAGUGCAGGAGAGGUAAGUGGAAUUCCUAGUGUAGCGGUGAAAUGCGUAGAUAUUAGGAGGAACCCCAGUGGCGAAGGCGGCUUACUGGACUGUAACUGACGUUGAGGCUCGAAAGCGUGGGGAGCAAACAGGAUUAGAUACCCUUGUAGUC
This 440-nucleotide ribosomal RNA is filed under the name uncultured bacterium. RNAcentral's name for it is "partial 16S ribosomal RNA". It matches the Rfam family "Bacterial small subunit ribosomal RNA", at positions 338 to 795 of the family's 1533-position model. The record is from RNAcentral.